Molecule: ribosomal RNA, 492 nt
Filed under: uncultured bacterium
Lineage: Bacteria
Description: bacterial SSU rRNA
Rfam family: Bacterial small subunit ribosomal RNA
Source: RNAcentral
GAUGAACGCUAGCGACAGGCCUAACACAUGCAAGUCGAGGGGCGAUCGGGACGUAGCAAUACGUUGCCGGCGACCGGCGGAUGGGUGAGUAACGCGUAUGCAACCUACCCGUAGCAGGGGGAGUAGCCCGUUGAAAGACGGAUUAAUACCCCGUAACACAGGGGCGUCCGCAUGGAGAUUAUUGUUAAAGGGUCAUUUCUUUUAGAGGUGGUCCGGCUACGGAUGGGCAUGCGUUCCAUUAGGUAGUUGGUGUAGGUAACGGCUCACCAAGCCGACGAUGGAUAGGGGAACUGAGAGGUUGGUCCCCCCACACUGGUACUGAGACACGGACCAGACUCCUACGGGAGGCAGCAGUUGGGAAUCUUAGGCAAUGGACGAAAGUCUGACCUAGCGACGCCGCGUGAGGGAAGAAGGCCUUCGGGUUGUAAACCUCUGUCAUGGGGGAAGAAGUAAGUGACGGUACCCCAAGAGGAAGCCCCUGCUAACUACGUG